GUCAUGAAACCCUGGUUCUGGUACGAUCACCGAAGUUAAGCAAAGUUGAAUCUGGUCAGUACCUAGAUUGGUGACCCCUUGGGAAUACCUGAUA
Molecule: non-coding RNA, 94 nt
Organism: Acanthosepion pharaonis
Lineage: Eukaryota; Metazoa; Mollusca; Cephalopoda; Sepiida; Sepiidae
Source: the annotation of a GenBank genome assembly